GUUGGCUUUCAAUAAACUUUUUCUCAAGUCUUGAGAUUUUUCUCAGCUGAGCCGUAAUUUUUUUAGACAUAAGCGGCCAAACAUCCAAGGAGCCGCGUGAACUUUCCCACGAACACGAGUGCAUAGUUGGGGGCAGUGGAUUUAUUCAUUUAUUGAGACGAAAUGAAGCGUUGAGAAAUGUUCAUAAACAACAUGUACAGUUUCGGGAUAUAUCCAAAUUGUAUGUUUGUACAAAGGUACGGCAGUGUAUUUUCAAUAUUAUAAUGAAUCAGCUUCAAACCUGUCACUUUUGAACCAGUCAUACACACAGUCGAGGGUAGUUACGUCAUAUUGCAUGUAUUUUCUUUACCAAAUAUGGGAUUAGGUAAACACAGCCAUACGUGUGACAAUUUUAUGUUAUCGGGCAUAUGUUUAUGGGAAUCAGAUAUGCAGCCGUCACAGCCUGCUGAUGAAGAUCCUCAGCUUAUACAGAGGUCAGGCUUGAACUAUGUGCUGAUUCUAAAGAUGCUAAUGACAGUGGAUAAUCCAUUCUGAGUUGUUCUAGGACUAUUCAUCCAAGGUUUCAAAACACUGAUGGAACUGAAGACAGUACGUGUACUGGUGUCUGGCCUGUGAUUUCAAGUAUAAUUGAUGUACCUCCUUGAAUACAAUAUAUCUGCCAUGUGAAAGGAACAAGCUGCAAGAUAUACUGAGGAAGUGGGGGCCUAUGUAAAAAAAACAUUUUAUUUAAAGAAUAUAAGAAAUCUGACACUAACUACAGAAAUCAAACAUUUACAGUGUGACUAACACAGUAGAUAGCUUUUCUAUAUGUUUUAAAAACUACAUGAAUGGUUUUGCAAAUAAAUUAUUGCCAAAACUCACUGAACCAGUUUGUUUUUAUUUUGUAUUUAUAACUACUAAGGGAUGGGUGUCUUAUUUUGAAUUUUGAUUGUUCUACAUUAAUCUGAAGGCGGGCCCAUUUAACGGGAGAGGAUGAGGAAUAUUUAAGACAAAAUGGGCACCCA
This is a long non-coding RNA of Mercenaria mercenaria, 1004 nucleotides long. RefSeq lists it as uncharacterized. The transcript has 3 exons. The record is from RefSeq and is a predicted model, not a curated record. Lineage: Eukaryota; Metazoa; Mollusca; Bivalvia; Venerida; Veneridae.